RNAcentral lists this ribosomal RNA (253 nucleotides) under uncultured bacterium. Its description in RNAcentral is "partial 16S ribosomal RNA". It matches the Rfam family "Bacterial small subunit ribosomal RNA", at positions 524 to 776 of the family's 1533-position model. The record is from RNAcentral.
UACGGAGGGUGCAAGCGUUAUCCGGAUUCACUGGGUUUAAAGGGUGCGUAGGCGGACAGGUAAGUCAGUGGUGAAAUCUCUGGGCUUAACCCAGAAACUGCCGUUGAUACUAUUUGUCUUGAAUAUCCUGGAGGUAGGCGGCAUAUGUCAUGUAGCGGUGAAAUGCUUAGAUAUGACAUAGAACACCGAUAGCGAAGGCAGCUUACUACAGGAUGAUUGACGCUGAGGCACGAAAGCGUGGGGAGCAAGCAGG